Molecule: ribosomal RNA, 538 nt
Filed under: uncultured Chloroflexota bacterium
Lineage: Bacteria; Bacillati; Chloroflexota
Description: bacterial SSU rRNA
Rfam family: Bacterial small subunit ribosomal RNA
Source: RNAcentral
GGGACGAUAAUGACGGUACCUGGAGAAUAAGUCACGGCUAACUACGUGCCAGCAGCCGCGGUAAUACGUAGGUGACAAGCGUUGUCCGGAUUUACUGGGCGUAAAGAGCGCGCAGGCGGUCGUUCAAGUCGAGUGUGAAAGCCCCCGGCUCAACUGGGGAGGGUCAUUCGAUACUGAUCGACUCGAAGGCAGGAGAGGGAAGCGGAAUUCCCGGUGUAGUGGUGAAAUGCGUAGAUAUCGGGAGGAACACCAGUGGCGAAGGCGGCUUCCUGGCCUGUUCUUGACGCUGAGGCGCGAAAGCUAGGGGAGCAAACGGGAUUAGAUACCCCGGUAGUCCUAGCCGUAAACGAUGGACACUAGGUGUUGGUGGUAUCAACCCCACCAGUGCCGAAGCUAACGCAUUAAGUGUCCCGCCUGGGGAGUACGGCCGCAAGGCUAAAACUCAAAGGAAUUGACGGGGCCCCGCACAAGCAGCGGAGCGUGGGGUUUAAUUCGAUGCAACGCGAAGAACCUUACCAGCACUUGACAAUCACUAGUG